Molecule: ribosomal RNA, 843 nt
Filed under: uncultured bacterium
Lineage: Bacteria
Description: bacterial SSU rRNA
Rfam family: Bacterial small subunit ribosomal RNA
Source: RNAcentral
CACGGCGCACGGGUGCGUAACACGUGGGUAAUCUGCCCUCCGAUGGGGAAUAACCCCGCGAAAGCGGGGCUAAUACCGCAUAACAUUCCUUGGACUCCGGUUUGAGGACUCAAAGCCGCAAGGCGUCGGAGGUGGAGCCCGCGCACGAUUAGCUAGUUGGUAGGGUAACGGCCUACCAAGGCUAUGAUCGUUAGCUGGUCUGAGAGGAUGGCCAGCCACACUGGAACUGAGACACGGUCCAGACUCCUACGGGAGGCAGCAGUGGGGAAUCUUGCACAAUGGGGGAAACCCUGAUGCAGCGACGCCGCGUGAGCGAUGAAGCCCUUCGGGGUGUAAAGCUCUUUCGGCAGGGACGAUAAUGACGGUACCUGCAGAAGCAGCUGCGGCUAACUACGUGCCAGCAGCCGCGGUAAUACGUAGGCAGCGAGCGUUGUUCGGAGUUACUGGGCGUAAAGGGUGUGUAGGCGGUUGUUUAAGUUUGGUGUGAAAUCUCCCGGCUCAACUGGGAGGGUGCGCCGAAUACUGAAUGACUCGAGUGCGGGAGAGGAGAGUGGAAUUCCUGGUGUAGCGGUGAAAUGCGUAGAUAUCAGGAGGAACACCGGCGGUGUAGACGGCUCUCUGGACCGUAACUGACGCUGAGACACGAAAGCGUGGGUAGCAAACAGGAUUAGAUACCCUGGUAGUCCACGCCCUAAACGAUGCAUAUUUGGUGUGGGUCAUUCAGUUGAUUCGUGCCGGAGCUAACGCGUUAAAUAUGCCGCCUGGGGAGUACAGUCGCAAGGCUGAAACUCAAAGGAAUUGACGGGGGCCCGCACAAGCGGUGGAGCAUGUGGUUCAAUUCGA